CAUAAGGGAAAUGCGAUCGAGGGGAUAAAUGGCCAAGACUUUGAUGGUCGUAAUGAGGCUCAAUCCCACUGCAGCUACGAAGGAGAGGUUGGAUUCUGUGGCGGUGGGAAAAUCUUGUUUGGGGGAUCCAUUUAAUUUAUUUGUUUUUGAGGGUGCCCAAUAACCAGUUGUUUGAAGGACUUUGUUUCUCUAUAUAAUAUUUGACACUUCAAAAAUAUGAAAUUUG
RNAcentral lists this long non-coding RNA (226 nucleotides) under Olea europaea (common olive). RNAcentral describes it as "long non-coding RNA (OEUR_LNC002839)". The record is from RNAcentral. Lineage: Eukaryota; Viridiplantae; Streptophyta; Magnoliopsida; Lamiales; Oleaceae.